UAUUACGAGGCUAAGCUGCCCGCUCCUGUGCGCUUCACAGCACCGCAAUAAAUGGCUGUGGAAAGUAAAGACCAAAUGGCCCCGGGAUUCAUACUUGGGUAUAAAAUGUGUUAGCAAAUCUGCUCCGUCCGUCAUAGCUCCGCCACUUCACUCCCCCCACCCCCAUUACCCUGCCGUGCUCUCCCACGGCGGCUGUGUACAAAACCCAGCAGUGGCUGGCCGUGUUGCGCACCGACAUUCACCGGCAGCGCACGCAGUGAUCCAUUUUCAAUUGAACGGGACGCUUCAGGCAUCAUCAGAAGCAUCAAAUCCACCUUGCUGCUGGUAUCGAUACUUUGCAUUUGCUGGUGUUACGUCUGUCCCCGCUGCCAAGAUGUGAAGCCGGAGGAUUUCAGACAGUGUGCAGCUAUCGAGAUCCAAAUUACGCAAUGAACAGCCUUCAACAAAUAAGCAGAAACUACAGCAGCAUCUUUAAAUCCCAAAUACUUCAUUCAACAAUGCAAAACGAGGAAAUCUACAGAUGCUGGAAUUUCAAACAACACAUAAAAAUUGCUGGUGAACACAGCAGGCCAGGCAGCAUCUCUAGGAAGAGGUACAGUCGAUGUUUCUCGCUGAGACCCUUCGUCCUAAGGUCCUUGAU
Mobula hypostoma (lesser devil ray) is the source of this 640-nucleotide long non-coding RNA. RefSeq lists it as uncharacterized. NCBI's taxonomy places the organism in Eukaryota, Metazoa, Chordata, Chondrichthyes, Myliobatiformes, Myliobatidae. The record is from RefSeq and is a predicted model, not a curated record. The transcript is spliced from 3 exons.